Molecule: long non-coding RNA, 1807 nt
Organism: Salarias fasciatus (jewelled blenny)
Lineage: Eukaryota; Metazoa; Chordata; Actinopteri; Blenniiformes; Blenniidae
Exons: 6
Source: RefSeq, a predicted model, not a curated record
GACAACUUGAGUGAGACGAAGCGAGACGACGGCUGAAGUCAGACCUGUGGAAAUGUUUCUAUUUUACCUCUUUGUGCUUCAGUCUGCAGCAGUGGCUGCAUCUGUUCAGAGAGCAGGAGAGGACGUCACUCUGACUUGUGAACAUAAGCUGGAGGGUCAACGGAACUGUAAUGGGACAUCAUGGUACUAUUAUGCUGGAACCAGUCAUAUCAUGGAUCUGGUUGAACUUGGGAAGAUUAAAGACUACAGUGACAUAACAUCAGACAGAGUGAGAGUUGCAGCAGAUUGCUCUCUGAUUCUGAAGAAAGUUACAGAAAAGCAAGUUGGUCAUUAUUAUUGUGAUCAACUCAAAUCAGACAGUUCAAAGCAACCCGUUAUAGUUAGCUGGUCUUUCGUGGAUCUGUCUAUCGUCAACAUCGUGACUGAACAUGACUCCGAUGACGAGGAGACACUGAAAUGCUUCGUGACGUCUAUACAGGAAAACUGUGAACUGGAAGUGAAGUGGACGAUCAAAGAUCAAGACAUUGAUGAAGUCAACAGUCAGAUAAAGACAGAAAAUAAUGGAUGUUCUGCCACUGUGACUCUUAAAAAGUCACAUUAUCUUCACCCACAAACACACUUCCUGAGCUGUGAAGUGACUGACAACAGAACAGGAGAAACGUUUCGUUUCAGUCCUCGACCCUCAGGUGACACAAAAUCAACAAUGAAACCAGAAAGCUUCACAAAAUCAGCUGGAACUGAAACCAGUGGAGCUUCAGCAGGUCCACAAGGCUCGUGGUGGAUGCACUCGAUUGUCGCUGUGGGUCUGAUUGUACUCCUGAUCACAGCUGUGGUGAUCAUCAUCAGAUGGAAAAGGACCAAAGGUUCCUGGUGGAGAUUAAGGAGAGACGGUGAUAUAUGCUGAUGAAUAAAGCUCUUUGAAUGUACUUGCCUUUCCCUUGUCCUGACAGUUGUAUCUUGUCAAACCAUAAUUUUUUCAGUCACAUUAGACUGAUGAAAACUAAUCAUGUUGUUUCAACACAAUUUUUCGUGUAACACCAAUUUAUUGUGCAGUUAUAAGUUGACUUCAUCAUCUCCAAUGUGCUGGACUUUCAAGUGUAACUCCAAACUGUUUUCUUAAUGCUAAUAUUAUUAUACAGUGUUACUUUAAUGGAAUUCACUCUGACCCUCUAUUCAUUUCAAGUCUGUCAACAGAGCUUGAUUUGCUAAUUGUCCAAAUGUAUCGGUUCAAUGUUUAAAAUGCAUGUGAAUUAAAAAAUCCUAAAUGCUGAAUUGCAUUUAAGAAUGGAAAAGAGUCCGUUUUCUGUAACAAGAUGUUCCAGUGGUUGGGUUCAAAUGUUGUAAAUCUCACUCUGCUGUGUUGUAUUAAGUCAUUUUUGGGCAAAAUAUCCAUCGACAUACAAUACUAGAGGCAUGAAUCAGUUUUUGGUAAGCAAAAAAAGCUGAUUUUUACAUUGUAAUGCCCCUUUACUCAUGGUUCAAGUGGUACAAAACACUGCUUGGGAUCAAAUUACUCUAUUGUGGGUAGGGAUGGGAAUCGAGAACCGAUUUUUUUGUAGAAUCGGUUCCUCAUGUCUCGAUUCCAAGGAAUCGUUUGGCUGUCUCCUUAACGAUUCCGCUAUCGAUUCCACUGUGUGCGUGACGACGUAUCAUGCGCGGAGCACAUGGACUCGCACAGCGCAGCUGAGGUCCACUCUGGCGCCGCUACAGAGCCGCGGACGGAAACUUUCAGCAAGGAUCCUUUUUUCCUCACUCCGGAGCCUGCUGCUUCAGUCUAAACAGAAACAAGUCGGUGCCAGAUGGAAAC